Molecule: ribosomal RNA, 117 nt
Filed under: Sinocyclocheilus grahami
Lineage: Eukaryota; Metazoa; Chordata; Actinopteri; Cypriniformes; Cyprinidae
Source: RNAcentral
GGCUGCAGCCAUAUCACCCUGCAGCCCAAGACUGGUUGCCCACUGAAGCUAAGCAGGUUUGAGCCUGGUCAGUACCUGGAUGGGAGACGACCUGGGAAAACUAGGUUGCUGCUGGAA